AUGGCAAGGAGUGUGGCUGAGGAUUUUUGUGGUUUUUUCAGGGGAUUGCAGAAAGAGUUUGGAACAAAGGAUUUUGUGUCUACAACAACUGGUUUUGAACAACAAAGAUAUGGGCAAUACAACAUGCUGUAUGCAGGUUUUUGGACUGACCUGUUUGGACUAAUAUGCAGGGUUGUUUCUAGUUUGGGAGAGCAGUAUGGUGGAGCAGAAUUGUAG
Vicia faba (fava bean) is the source of this 216-nucleotide non-coding RNA. NCBI's taxonomy places the organism in Eukaryota, Viridiplantae, Streptophyta, Magnoliopsida, Fabales, Fabaceae. The record is from the annotation of a GenBank genome assembly.